This 214-nucleotide long non-coding RNA is filed under the name Lathyrus oleraceus (garden pea). RNAcentral's name for it is "Pisum sativum (pea) long non-coding RNA (PSAT_LNC030031)". Lineage: Eukaryota; Viridiplantae; Streptophyta; Magnoliopsida; Fabales; Fabaceae. The record is from RNAcentral.
UUGAACGACUUCUGCACUACAUCCUAAGAAUAGGCCAAGAGGGGCUUGGUAAACUAAGGUCCUUGGCUUAUAAGGUCUAUAUUGGAAGGAGUAAUGUCUAACCACAACUACUCGUGUGACAUUAUUGAUCCCAACAUGACCUCCACCAAGUGAAUGGACUUGCAAGUCAACUUGCUAAGGAAUAACUCCACACAAGUCAACAAGACUAUGCCAU